This 90-nucleotide small RNA is filed under the name Pedobacter terrae. RNAcentral's name for it is "Flavo-1 RNA". It matches the Rfam family "Flavo-1 RNA". The record is from RNAcentral. Lineage: Bacteria; Pseudomonadati; Bacteroidota; Sphingobacteriia; Sphingobacteriales; Sphingobacteriaceae.
UCAUAAACGGGAUGGAAGCGGCAUCCUUUGGCGGUCAGCCUGAGCGGAGUUGGGGCCCUGCAAAAGAUAUAGCGCACAGCCCGACUAACC